RNAcentral lists this ribosomal RNA (492 nucleotides) under uncultured bacterium. RNAcentral's name for it is "partial 16S ribosomal RNA". It matches the Rfam family "Bacterial small subunit ribosomal RNA", at positions 29 to 507 of the family's 1533-position model. The record is from RNAcentral.
AUUGAACGCUGGCGGCAUGCUUUACACAUGCAAGUCGAACGGUAACAGGCCUUCGGGUGCUGACGAGUGGCGAACGGGUGAGUAAUGCAUCGGAACGUACCCAGAGGUGGGGGAUAACGCAGCGAAAGCUGUGCUAAUACCGCAUGUGAUCUGAGGAUGAAAGCGGGGGACCGAGCAGCAAUGUUUGGCCUCGCGCCUUUGGAGCGGCCGAUGUCGGAUUAGCUAGUUGGUGGGGUAAAGGCCUACCAAGGCGACGAUCCGUAGCUGGUCUGAGAGGACGGCCGGCCACACUGGGACGGAGACACGGCCCAGACGCCUACGGGAGGCAGCAGUGGGGAAUUUUGGACAAUGGGCGCAAGCCUGAUCCAGCAAUGCCGCGUGCGGGAAGAAGGCCUUCGGGUUGUAAACCGCUUUUGGCAGGAACGAAACGGUGUCCGCUAAUACCGGGCGCUAAUGACGGUACCUGCAGAAUAAGCACCGGCUAACUACGUG